Molecule: ribosomal RNA, 317 nt
Filed under: uncultured bacterium
Lineage: Bacteria
Description: bacterial SSU rRNA
Rfam family: Bacterial small subunit ribosomal RNA
Source: RNAcentral
AGUGAACGCUAGCGGCGCGCCUAACACAUGCAAGUCGAGUGGGUUUAGACCCACGGCAAACGGCUGCGUAACACGUUGGAACCUUCCCCGAACUCAGGGAUAACCCUCCGAAAGGAGGAGUAAUACCGGAUGCCCUCGCAAGAGGAAAGUAUUUUUCGGUUCGGGAGGGGCCUGCGGCCUAUCAGUUAGUUGGUGAGGUAACGGCUCACCAAGACGAUGACGGGUAGCUGGUCUGAGAGGACGACCAGCCAGAAUGGAACUGCGACACGGUCCAUACUCCUACGGGAGGCAGCAGUGAGGAAUCUUCCGCAAUGGAC